GACCCCUGCUGGUUAAAAUGGUGGUGCAAGUUCCCAGCUGCAAAGAGAGCAGAGCCGACAAACUGAUGGGACAGCCACUCGAGAGACACGGGAGGCAUGUCGAAGUCAGAGAACAAUCGAAUUCCUGGAGAGGCUGAAAGAAGAGAGAGCUGGUUUAGUGAAAGACGAGACAGAGCGACAGAGAGACAAAGCAGAGAUGAGCUGCACAGUCUGUGUUUCAGGAUAAGCUAACAUUAUGAAGUUGCAACAAUCCGAGUAUCUACUGAAGCACAAAGAAAGAC
Molecule: long non-coding RNA, 281 nt
Organism: Oreochromis aureus
Lineage: Eukaryota; Metazoa; Chordata; Actinopteri; Cichliformes; Cichlidae
Exons: 3
Source: RefSeq, a predicted model, not a curated record